This 414-nucleotide ribosomal RNA is filed under the name uncultured bacterium. RNAcentral describes it as "partial 16S ribosomal RNA". It matches the Rfam family "Bacterial small subunit ribosomal RNA", at positions 28 to 412 of the family's 1533-position model. The record is from RNAcentral.
GACGAACGCUGGCGGCGUGCUUAACACAUGCAAGUCGAGCGGUAAGGCCCUUUCGGGGGUACACGAGCGGCGAACGGGUGAGUAACACGUGGGUGACCUGCCCUUAGCUCUGGGAUAAGCCUGGGAAACUGGGUCUAAUACCGGAUAUGACCUCAUGACUCAUGUUGUGGGGUGGAAAGCCUUGUGCGGCUAGGGAUGGGCCCGCGGUCUAUCAGCUUGUUGGUGGGGUAAUUGCCUACCAAGGCGACGACGGGUAGCCGGCCUGAGAGGGCGACCGGCCACACUGGGACNGAGUUUUUUUUUUUUUUUUUUUUUUUUUUUUUUUACACGGCCCAGACUCCUACGGGAGGCAGCAGUGGGGAAUCUUGCGCAAUGGGCGAAAGCCUGACGCAGCGACGCCGCGUGAGGGAUGAC